AUGCAAAUCAUGCAAAUGAGAACAGAACGAAUGAACAGAAUUAAGAGAGAGGUCUUCUGUGGAGGGAGCUUAUUGUGAAAUUAAGAAAAACACGGAGGUUAUUCUGGCAAAUCGUUGGGUGUGAAGAAACUCGAAGUUGACUACUCCACAAUUACUGUAAGCUGCAACAGAGGAGAUACAAACAUAUAUCGUUAGAAAUUUUGGCAGAUGACAAGAAUUUGUGUCGCCGAUGAAUGCCCAAUACAACAUAAAGUAAACUGAGGAGGAUAAAGGCAACUGACCUAUCUAUCUAUUCAAGCGAUUUUCUAAUCCGACGUAUUUUAAGUUACAAGUAUGGCUACUCAAACAUGAUAACUUGAGGAAGACCACCUAAGUUGCCAUCACACCAACUUACGGUGCGCGCGCGCUACAUGCUGAGGAAGACGACGAAGAGCAGCGGGGGGCGGGAACUCACGGAGCGGAUCGCAUCAGGUGUACGGACUUGCGGCGCGCGCCGUUUGUAGACGACUCCGGGGAAUUCUGCCUGAACACUCGGCAUCAGGUAAACUUUCAAGACAUUCUCGAGUCAGUUUGGGUUGGGGAGCAUGCACCUCGGGAUCCAGAUGGCAACCUCCCAGGCAGACAAUACAGAACAAUGUAUUCUUGAAAUUGGUAACCUCCACAUAUUAGAAAAGAAUUAUAAGCACAUGAGAAAAGUAAAUACUAUAUUUCACUAAGCAUUAAGAUAAGGAUUAAAAAGACUUAUGCCUA
Polypterus senegalus (gray bichir) is the source of this 750-nucleotide long non-coding RNA. RefSeq lists it as uncharacterized. The record is from RefSeq and is a predicted model, not a curated record. The transcript has 2 exons. Lineage: Eukaryota; Metazoa; Chordata; Cladistia; Polypteriformes; Polypteridae.